RNAcentral lists this long non-coding RNA (766 nucleotides) under Gadus morhua (Atlantic cod). Its description in RNAcentral is "lncRNA (ENSGMOG00000031221.1)". Lineage: Eukaryota; Metazoa; Chordata; Actinopteri; Gadiformes; Gadidae. The record is from RNAcentral.
AAGGCUACAAUGACAUCAGGCAACAUGAGCAGCGAUGAAGAGAGGAGUAUGAGAGAGUGCGAGCAGUACGUGCAGAAACACAACAUCCAGCAGCUGCUGAAGGACUGCAUCGUCCAGCUGUGCACCUCGCGGCCAGACCGGCCAAUGGCUUUCCUCAAAGAGUACUUUGACAGACUGGAAAAGGAGGAGAGCAUGCAGAUGCUGCUGCAGCAGAAGGCCUCGGGCUCCCGCUCGGACUCCCGCUCGGACUCCCGCUCGGAGGAGGUCUCCCCCCCAUGAACCCCGUGGUGCGGGGGCGCCGCCGCCGCGGGGCCAUCAGCGCCGAGGGGUACAACGAGGAGGACGCCGCCUCCUACGUCAGAAAGCUGAUAUAUCAGAGCCGACUCCUGAGAGCAGACGUAUCUAAAGCUGUCAGGGAGGAACCAUGGCUACCAUCUCUGAACCGGACCCUGGACUCUCUGAGGAACCUGGGGACGCGUCUUUGGACCGGAGGGAGCGCAGGAAGAGAAGAUUUGCUGGUAGAGCAAAGAAGAAGGCUAAGUCCAGACGCCGUGGAAGCCGUCAGAGAGUAACAAUGGUCACCAUCUCUGAACCGGACCCUGGACUCUCUGAGGACCCUGAGGACACGUCUUUGGACCGGGAGGAGACCAGGAAGAGAAGAUUUGCUCUCUGGUUUCACAUCACUGUCAUUGUGAGCAUCGGACUGCUGAGUAUUCUUCUCAUCUCCCUGCGCUUCAGUGAGUCUAAAUCAUAUCCUCCUAAAUAG